AUUGAACGCUGGCGGAAUGCUUUACACAUGCAAGUCGAACGGCAGCACGGACUUCGGUCUGGUGGCGAGUGGCGAACGGGUGAGUAAUGUAUCGGAACGUGCCCAGUCGUGGGGGAUAACGUAGUGAAAAUUACGCUAAUACCGCAUACGAUCUAUGGAUGAAAGCGGGGGAUCGCAAGACCUCGCGCGAUUGGAGCGGCCGAUAUCAGAUUAGGUAGUUGGUGGGGUAAAGGCCCACCAAGCCAACGAUCUGGAGCUGGUCUGAGAGGACGACCAGCCACACUGGAAGUGAGACACGGUCCAGACUCCUACGGGAGGCAGCAGUGGGGAAUUUUGGACAAUGGGCGAAAGCCUGAUCCAGCCAUUCCGCGUGCAGGAUGAAGGCCCUCGGGUUGUAAACUGCUUUUGUACAGAACGAAAAGGUUUCUACUAAUACUAGGAGCUCAUGACGGUACUGUAAGAAUAAGCACCGGCUAACUACGUGCCAGCCGCCGCGGUAA
RNAcentral lists this ribosomal RNA (500 nucleotides) under uncultured bacterium. RNAcentral describes it as "partial 16S ribosomal RNA". It matches the Rfam family "Bacterial small subunit ribosomal RNA", at positions 30 to 523 of the family's 1533-position model. The record is from RNAcentral.